AACGAACGCUGGCGGCAGGCCUAACACAUGCAAGUCGAGCGAGGACUUCGGUUCUAGCGGCGGACGGGUGAGUAACGCGUGGGAAUGUGCCCUUCUCUACGGAAUAGCCCUGGGAAACUGGGAGUAAUACCGUAUACGCCCUAUUGGGGAAAGAUUUAUCGGAGAAGGAUCAGCCCGCGUUGGAUUAGGUAGUUGGUGGGGUAAUGGCCUACCAAGCCGACGAUCCAUAGCUGGUUUGAGAGGAUGAUCAGCCACACUGGGACUGAGACACGGCCCAGACUCCUACGGGAGGCAGCAGUGGGGAAUCUUAGACAGUGGGGGCAACCCUGAUCGAGCCAUGCCGCGUGAGUGAUGAAGGCCUUAGGGUUGUAAAGCUCUUUCAGCUGGGAAGAUAAUGACGGUACCAGCAGAAGAAGCCCCGGCUAACUCCGUG
Molecule: ribosomal RNA, 433 nt
Filed under: uncultured bacterium
Lineage: Bacteria
Description: partial 16S ribosomal RNA
Rfam family: Bacterial small subunit ribosomal RNA
Source: RNAcentral